GAAGACGACUAGGUCAGCUCUGUGAAGUCUUCUAUUUUUACCCUCUUCCAGCCUGCCAUGCAUGGGUGCUUAAAGCCUCAGACCUAGGCUGGGCGUCAAGCGGUUUCCCUCAGACUCGGAGCCUUUGGCCUACAGAAUCAUGGCGGCUGCAGGUCUGCAACUUUCUGCUUCCCCGGACCCCCGGCUGUGCUGGGUGGCCCACACCCAUCUGCUGAGGAGGACGAGGUGGGGAAAAGCCUUAGAGGUCAGUGUCUCGAAGCCAGCCUGGGCAGUACAAUGAGAUUCCUUCUGUCUCAAAUAUAUAAGUGACUGAAUAAGAUGUAAAAUGGCCAACUGCUGGGAGGGCCAAGGGAAAGGAGCCUCUGAAGGUCUUUUGGCAGAGGACCCAAGGCAUGGAUGACAGCAAGGUUAGCAAGAAGGACAGGCCCUGCAGAUCCACACAGGAUCCAGUCUCCGGAAAGAAAUUGUUAUCAGGCAGAGGCUGCUGUGGGGAGCCUGACCCGGAAGCCUUGGGUUCUUUUCAGGAAGGUCAAGAGGAGCCAUCUGGCAUCCUCGGCCUAGAAGCUCAGAACUCGGAAACUCUCAGAGUCUCUUCCAACACAACUGGUGCAAAGAACCACCCUCCUUGCCAACCCCACUAGAAAACAGGUGCCAGAAGGUCUCGCCUGUCCUUCCAGUGUCCAUGGUGCCAUUUCUCUGCAGAGCCUCCCAUGGCAAGGCACGAGGACUCACAACAUUGUUCCAGCCCACUUCAGACCUGAGAUACCCACAGAUGCCUACCUUAGCAACACGAUUAACCUCCAGGAUUCUUAUGGGUUGAAUAGUGCUCACCCACUGACUGAUGUGUGCUCAGAAUCCCAGGAAGGAGGAGAGAGAUCUUCAUGGGUAUCCUUCAGUACGGUGGAGGCCACCUAGGAUUUAGGGUGAGCACCGACUUUAACCACCGGUGUCCUUGUGAAUAAGAACAGGACACAGACCCAGAGGAAGAGUGCCACACCUGGACAAGGCAGAAACGAGAGUGGUCAAAAGUCAAGGAACACCGGGGAUGUUGCAGCUCUCAAUCUGGCAAACCUCCUUGUUGGCUUGGAACAGUUCUGGAAAAGGAAGCCUCUAAGACAGCAGGAACAAAUGCCUCACAGCACGGGCAAGUUGGAGAUCAAGAGAAAUGGCGUCAUCAUCACCACCACCACCAUCAUCACCAUCAUCAUCAUCAAUACCAUCAGUGCCGGAGGACAUCUUUGGAAGUCGGUUCUCCUCGUCCAUCCACCGUUGGACCCAGGAACUGAAUUUAGGUCUUCAGGCGAGCACAGCAAGCACAAGCACUCUCACCUGCUGAGUCAUCCCUCUGACCCCUUUAUUCUUCUGUGCUGAUGCAAGAGAUGAAAACCCAAGGCCUCAGAUGUGCUCCGUGCUCUGCCCUGGGCUCCAGCACCAGAGUGCACGAACUUUUGCAAUACCAAGGAAAUUAAACCCAGCGUACACACCAUUCAGACAUACGCACGCACGUAUACACGCAUGCCACACUUGCUCCGCCCAUUUACACUCGUACAAAUCCACGUGACUAAAUUUGCAUCGUGGCUGCUUGAAUCCAGACGGCAUGGAAACACACACGUCAUGCGAUCACACACAUGCUUGGAUGCUCGUGUGUUGUGUGUUGUAUCUAUACGCCUAGGUGUGCAUCACACAGAGAGAUGCGUUCAGGGCCCAUUCCAGCAGAAGACUUCGGAACAGAGAACAGACGGACGGGCUGGUGAUGACAUCAGCCUGUAUCUGCCUUGGAAAGGGUUGGGGGUAUCUGCUGUGGUGUGUUCUUGGCCUCUUGACAUUUACCUUGUGGGACCCUGGCCCCUGCACCCCUGCCUGCCACACCUUAUUCCCCUGGCCCCUGCACAGAAGGGCUGUCCCAUAUGGCAGGGAACAGGGGUGACCCUGUUGCCCUGUGAGAAUGCCUCGGGAAUCCCACACAGAUCUCUUUCUGCCUGAUGUCUCCUUGGGGCACUAGGGAUGAACAGCUUUUGACAUGUUGAGCGGGAAAUUGCUUUUCCCCUCCUGCUUCUGAGACUCGCUCUUAAGACUUUAAUUGCAGAAGAAGGCUCUGGGGUUGGAGACUGUGCAGGUGUGAGUGAUGUCAGCUUUCGGAGCCUGGCAGGGCUGAGCCAGGGAGAGGGCUGUGCGGGGAGGGAUGGGGGAGUAGGGGGUGGCACCUUCGGAGCCAGAAUCAGCCCUGUCAUUUAAAUCCUCUGUGCUCCCCGCCUCCAGACCUCAGGCUUCUCUGAGGUAUCACACAGUGCCCAUUAGGGGCCUUCCUCAUCAUGAACACCUACCUCCCUCUUACCUUGAAGGAGCCCUCACUGUGAGCGGGUGCUAGGUUUGGUUCUGCAGUCUUGUCCCCAGGUCCUGCCUGUACUGGGCACUGUGGGCACUGGCGGUAGGAAGCCAGAGACUCUGUCCUUCCUCAGGGUAAAUAGGAGUCGUUCAGACCUGGUGAGUGGGUAUCUUGGCAAGGGGAACCCAGGUAAGACCCCACUGGCACUCACGGUAAAUAGAGGGGCCCAUCAGAAGCCCAGCCUGAGACUCCCUUCCCCAACCAGGCCUCAGGCAAGGUACUCUCCUGCCUAUGGCAUCUGUAAGUCAGAGAGAUCCCUUCACUCACCAGAUGCUUCAUUUGAUCAUUUGUCCUGACUCAGGGAUACUCCUUUCCCUUAUGCAGCAAGGACUCACAGAAGUAAGUCCUCAUGGGCCCAGAUAAAGCCAUUUUGACGGACACUCAGGCAGCGUUGCAAGGACCUACACUGUGGCGGUAAACGGGGCCUAUGCACUGAGCCAUAAGGCGGCUGCUGUCGGAGGGAGGGGUCAAAGGGGACCGGAGUCUUCUAAUAGAGCUGGCUAAAUGAGCCAAGUGUGAUGACAAAAAUGCAUCCAUCACUCUUAGAAGGGAGGGCGCUUCCACAUGCGUGAGAAGAGCCGUGCUGCUGAGGAGGGGAGUCACAGCUGGGAGGGAGCAGGCAGGGACUCAGAGCUCCACAGGCAGGCUUCAGCAAGCAGCCGCAAGCCCUCCCGCAGUGAGUGGAAACAGAAGCUCACCUCAGAAUCACCAAGAGAAGCAAAAGGAAACGAUGGAGUGGGUUUGAUAGCACCACCCUCAUUGUCAGGGAGCAGAGGUGGCAGGGGCCAGAACCAGUGACCCCAGGAUCAUAGGGAACAGGCCCAGCCUUGGCAGAGCCUCAGGAACCAGUAAGCACGCACACAUCACACACUCAAUGUUCUGAAAUCAGAGAAGUGCAAGGCUGACAGAAUAUUGGGGGAGACAACAAGGCUGCACUGUGUGUGAAGGGGCCUGCUGCCAAGCUCCUGAUAACCCGAGUUCAAUCCCAGGAACUGACACAGAGGAAGGGAGAAUUGACCCACAAAAGCUGUCCUCUGAC
This 3425-nucleotide small RNA is filed under the name Rattus norvegicus (Norway rat). Its description in RNAcentral is "uncharacterized LOC102551272". Lineage: Eukaryota; Metazoa; Chordata; Mammalia; Rodentia; Muridae. The record is from RNAcentral.